Molecule: long non-coding RNA, 861 nt
Organism: Salvelinus namaycush (lake trout)
Lineage: Eukaryota; Metazoa; Chordata; Actinopteri; Salmoniformes; Salmonidae
Exons: 2
Source: RefSeq, a predicted model, not a curated record
CUGAUACCAGUAACUCCAGACAGGUUAUACUCAUCAGCUGAUACCAGUAACUCCAGACAGGCUAUACUCAUCAGCUGAUACCAGUAACUCCAGACAGGCUAUACUCACCCUCAUCAGCUGAUAACAGUAACUCCAGACAGGCUAUACUCACCCUCAUCAGCUGAUACCAGUAACUCCAGACAGGCUAUACUCAUCAGCUGAUACCAGUAACUCCAGACAGGCUAUACUCACCCUCAUCAGCUGAUAACAGUAACUCCAGACAGGCUAUACUCACCCUCAUCAGCUGAUAACAGUAACUCCAGACAGGCUAUACUCACCCUCAUCAGCUGAUAUCAGUAACUCCAGACAGGCUAUACUCAUCAGCUGAUAACAGUAACUCCAGACAGGUUAUACUCAUCAGCUGAUACCAGUAACUCCAGACAGGCUAUACUCAUCAGCUGAUACCAGUAACUCCAGACAGGCUAUACUCAUCAGCUGAUAACAGUAACUCCAGACAGGCUAUACUCACCCUCAUCAGCUGAUAACAGUAACUCCAGACAGGUUAUACUCAUCAGCUGAUGACAGGCUAUACUCACCCUCAUCAGCUGAUAACAGUAACUCCAGACAGGCUAUACUCAUCAGCUGAUAACAGUAAACUCCAGACAGGCUAUACUCAUCAGCUGAUGACAGGCUAUACUCAGGAAGACUUCUACAGACUGAGAUGUUUGUCAGUUGGAGGAAAGGAAGCCACAGAAUAAAUUUGGUCUUCAACAAAUUGGCGGACGAUAUAGGAAGAGUGUACUUUUUUUUGUCCCUUUGUUUCUCACUAUUCCAGAGUGUAUUUAAACUGAUUCUCCAAAAUAAAUGGAAAUUGGGUUGCUA